GCAAUCAUCAGUCAAUUCUCAUCCUCCAUUACUUACAACUUCAUUUGCUAAGUACAAUUGUAAUGACUAUCCAUAAAUAUAUUUCUCAUGAUCCACGUGCUAAGAAGAAAAUUCUACCUCUAAUGCCUCGCCGGAGCCUCAACAUCCAAUCACCGAAUCACCACCGACAACCUCCCUAUACGAUGGCCAAAAAGUCAAGCUUGACGCCACAGUACCCCCAAACAUACCGAUCUACUUGAAUUUUUACCAAGACUCCUUAU
This 260-nucleotide long non-coding RNA is filed under the name Jatropha curcas. RNAcentral's name for it is "long non-coding RNA (JCUR_LNC002139)". The record is from RNAcentral. Lineage: Eukaryota; Viridiplantae; Streptophyta; Magnoliopsida; Malpighiales; Euphorbiaceae.